GAUGAAGAACGCAGCGAAAUGCGAUAAGUAAUGUGAAUUGCAGAAUUCAGUGAAUCAUCGAAUCUUUGAACGCACAUUGCGCCCGCCAGUAUUCUGGCGGGCAUGCCUGUUCGAGCGUCAUCUCAACCAUCAAGCCCCAGGCUUGUGUUGGGGACCUGCGGCUGCCGCAGGCCCUGAAAACCAGUGGCGGGCUCGCUGUCACACCGGGCGUAGUAGAUUUUAUCUCGCUCAGGGCGUGCUGCGGGUUCCGGCCGUUAAAAAGCCUUUUUUACCCAAGGUUGACCUCGGAUCAGGUAGGAAGACCCGCUGAACUUAAGUAUAUCAAUAAGCGGAGGA
RNAcentral lists this unclassified non-coding RNA (336 nucleotides) under soil metagenome. RNAcentral's name for it is "partial contains 5.8S ribosomal RNA, internal transcribed spacer 2, and large subunit ribosomal RNA". The stretch from base 1 to 120 matches the Rfam family "5.8S ribosomal RNA", at positions 35 to 154 of the family's 154-position model. The record is from RNAcentral.